GUUGUCAACCAAAUUAGGAGAAGGGUAAUCCUGCACAACUGGAGUGGCUGCACUCUCAGGACCGCAUUUUUAGGACCGCAUCUUUAGGAGCCUAUUUUUUUGUGACAGCGCCAACUGUCGGAUUGGAUCAAGGAUGCGCUAAUGGACGACACGGAUGACAAGGUAAGUGACAUCGUACAUGCUCUGGGUGUCUUGAGGAGCUUGUCUUUGGAUGAUGCUGAGCAGGUCUUUCUUUCUGGUAACGGUUAUCAUUACAGUGAAGUAAAAGAAUUUAACAGACAGAUUGACAAACAACUGACAAAAGAAGAGAGACCAUUUAAUAG
Non-coding RNA from Danio rerio (zebrafish), 323 nucleotides. NCBI's taxonomy places the organism in Eukaryota, Metazoa, Chordata, Actinopteri, Cypriniformes, Danionidae. The record is from RefSeq and is a predicted model, not a curated record.